Molecule: ribosomal RNA, 660 nt
Filed under: uncultured bacterium
Lineage: Bacteria
Description: bacterial SSU rRNA
Rfam family: Bacterial small subunit ribosomal RNA
Source: RNAcentral
AGAGUUUGAUCAUGGCUCAGGACGCAACGCUGGCGGCGUGCCUAAUACAUGCAAGUCGAGCGAAUCAAUAGGAGCUUGCUCCUGUUGAUUAGCGGCGGACGGGUGAGUAACACGUGGGCAACCUGCCUGUAAGACUGGGAUAACUUCGGGAAAUCGGAGCUAAUACCGGAUAAUCCUUUCCCUCUCAUGAGGGAAAGCUGAAAGUCGGUUUCGGCUGACACUUACAGAUGGGCCCGCGGCGCAUUAGCUAGUUGGUGAGGUAACGGCUCACCAAGGCGACGAUGCGUAGCCGACCUGAGAGGGUGAUCGGCCACACUGGGACUGAGACACGGCCCAGACUCCUACGGGAGGCAGCAGUAGGGAAUCUUCCGCAAUGGAUGAAAGUCUGACGGAGCAACGCCGCGUGAGCGAUGAAGGCCUUCGGGUCGUAAAGCUCUGUUGUUAGGGAAGAACAAGUACCGGAGUAACUGCCGGUACCUUGACGGUACCUAACCAGAAAGCCACGGCUAACUACGUGCCAGCAGCCGCGGUAAUACGUAGGUGGCAAGCGUUGUCCGGAAUUAUUGGGCGUAAAGCGCGCGCAGGCGGUCCUUUAAGUCUGAUGUGAAAGCCCACGGCUCAACCGUGGAGGGUCAUUGGAAACUGGGGGACUUGAGUGCA